Molecule: RNA transcript, 1709 nt
Organism: Mandrillus leucophaeus (drill)
Lineage: Eukaryota; Metazoa; Chordata; Mammalia; Primates; Cercopithecidae
Exons: 1
Source: RefSeq, a predicted model, not a curated record
GUGGUGGCGCACGCCUGUAAUCCCAGCUACCCAGGAGGCUGAGGCAGGAUCAUCUCUUGAACCGAGGAGGUGGAGGUUGCAGUGAGCUGAGAUCACGCCAUUGUACCCCAGCCUGGGCGACACAGCAAGACUCCAUCUCAAAAAAAAAAAAAAAAAACCAAAAAUCCACUCAUACAAAGGGUGAGCUCAGCUCACUGGUCCACUUCUCAGUGCCUUCUCCAUCCUCACUUGCAAACCUCAGAGGGAUAAAGCAGUUGAACCUGAUGAGCAAGAAUUGUAACAGCAAGGAAUCAUUAAUGCUUAGAAUUCUGAGGUCCAGCACAACUCAGUCUCUAGGAGCUCAGCUCACUGCCCAGGGAUAGGUAUGACCUACGUCUGCCUUAGGCUGCUGGUAGAAGCCAUUCUCCAGUUUCAGAAGCAGGAAGGGCAAAGGUCAAGACUGUGGUAUUGGAGUCUUUUGGCUCUGAAGGAUCCUGGAACCACUGAUUUUGUUUUAUUCCCUCCAGGGUCUAAAGAGAACAAGAAGUGCUAGCUCUUACCAAAACAGAUGGUAGAGAGUUGCUGGCUAUUUAAAAGCCCUUUCAUCUUUUAAUUCACUUCUUUUCACUUCUUAACCAUCCAACAGGAACAGAACACUCCUAGGACUGGGAGUCUUACUUUUAGCUCCAUAAGCAAAUGAGCAGAUGGGACAAGUUAGUCUUUUCUCCCUAGAAACAAAGGGGAUGCCUGGUGGUUUCCCUUUGCUUCCCAACCUAAAAUUUCAAGUUUAAUAAAAUAGCAGUUAGCAUAAGUGACCAAAUUGGGAGAUAAUUAUCACUCAUGAGGAAAGAUACACAUUUCAGUCAUAAAGAAUGUAAGGGCUAUAAGCACAAACUUUCUAUAACCUAAAUGAUGUUAUAGCAUUAGUAUUUUUUAGCAGGAGCAGAAAGAUUAAAUAUGAUCACUUCAUACUUCUAAAUCAGAAAUAGGAAGAUUAAAACCACAGAACAGUUUGUGACUGCCGUUGCUAUAGCUAGGUAUCUUACUCUGUCCACUCUUGUUCAAGUAUCUAACUCUUCUGGAGACCAAAUAGGCUUUAGAAGAGAUUAUCCUAAAUUCCUAUCAGUGUAAUACUAAAAUAUAACUUUUUAAUCACCUGGUUUUUAAAAGAUAAACAAUUUAGCCCAUCUCUCCAGAGAGCAAACAUAGGAAUAUGCCUCAGGAGCCUUUACUCCCUGGGUUUAUCAUCAGCCCUCAUACCCGUUUCCCCCUCCAACCCACAGCCUUUGCUUCCAGGUGGGGGGAUUACUUCUUUGCCUCUUCAGCAGCAUCUACUCUAGGCGUAUUGAUCACUUUGGACACUGGGAGAAGAACCUCAAACUAGGAAGAAAAGACAGCCUACAUUUAGUUUUGGGAGGGGAUGGCAGACAGCAAGGAGAUGAGCAUCCUAAGGCAUGCUGGGAUAAGGUCAGAGGCACCACCCAUGGAGAGGUUUGUCAACACAAAGACGUGGAAGGUUAGAGGUUUGUCAACACAAAGACACAGGAAGAAUGGGCAGCAGAAGAUUUAGAUGUUUUCCAUUUGGGCACAUUUAACUUAGCUGGAUAACUUGGUUUAAAACAGCCUGGGUAGGAAAAUUAGAAGCAAGCUGGGUGCAGUGGCUCAUGCCUGUAAUGCCAACACUUUUGGGAGGUCCAGGCAGGAGGAUCGCUUGGGCCCAGGAGGUCAAG